CAAAAUAAGAAUACCAACAUC
This 21-nucleotide small nuclear RNA is filed under the name Arabidopsis thaliana (thale cress). RNAcentral's name for it is "snRNA_13974". The record is from RNAcentral. Lineage: Eukaryota; Viridiplantae; Streptophyta; Magnoliopsida; Brassicales; Brassicaceae.